Molecule: long non-coding RNA, 4215 nt
Filed under: Homo sapiens (human)
Lineage: Eukaryota; Metazoa; Chordata; Mammalia; Primates; Hominidae
Description: HSALNT0252663
Source: RNAcentral
GGCAUUUCCAGCUUUGGCUGGCUCCAAGGCUGUGGAAAAGCAGUGAUUUUGUGGCCACACAGCAGCUAUGAGGAAAGGCGAGAAAAAUCAAAAUGCCAUGGCUCUGAGAUCCCUCAGCAAUGAAACUAAAUCCGUGAACCACCCAAAUCCAGAUUCAAUUCAUUUACCUUAACCACUGCUUUGCAGAUUUCUGUUUCAGCCUAAGGUAAGUUUGAGUUGCUGUACACACACUGACAUGAGACAUUGUUCCUCAUGAUUAUAGCAUCUCCCAAGUGGAAUCCCCACCACCUGGAUGAUGACAUACUUAUCAGCUGAAGACCAUUGUUUCACUUAAGCAUUCUUCAAAAUCUAUAUCUUUAUUCCUGUCCCUGUGUCCAUCUGCAUCUGUAUCUCUACCAUCUAUAUCCUUUCUUUUUCUUUCUCUAUCUCUCUCUGUGUAUAUACUUUUAAACUUAUCAAAUUGUUUUUAAAACUAAUAAGAAACAUUUGAUUUUUAUAGCAUCCUUAUAUUUAUUGUUUAGAGCACACUAGAUAGGUAGGUAAGUAGGUAGGUAGAGAGAGAGAUAGAUAUGGAUAAUGGGAUAAUGUCUUACAUCUUUAUUCCGGUUUGUUUUUUUUCCACAUAAAUUAUCUCAAUCACAAAACAAUUUUGUUUUCCUAAAUUUAAUACAGCUGAUUCUAUUUUAAAGCUAGAAUUAAAUUAUCUUGAAUAUUUUCUAUUUAGAAAGGCUUAAAACUACAAGCUACUUUGGAUUUAAAGUGUUCUGAGAUUUUUGACUGCAAUGAUCUCUUCAUCCAAGUUAAAGUAUUCCUCUUACUAUUGGAGUAUAUAAUUCCGUAACUAGAAGGUAUUUGGAGGAUAAUUAUACCAGCUAAUUAUUUAAUUAAUUUAAGAAUUUAUUCACUUAUACAUAGUAUUAAGUACUCCGUAUUAAUAUUGGACUUUCAGAAAUAAAAACAGACUAUUCCAUCCCAUAGUGAUCUUAACUAUCAGUGAGGAGGCAGCAAGUUUAAAAAAACACAAUAUAUUGCAAUAAUUCUAAUAAAACUUAUUAAUAGUUUUAUAGUCAACAGCUUAUUAUAUUCAUACAGUAUUCAAAUGCUUCUCACGUAUUAUCUCUGUUGACUUUAUGAAACUGUAACUAAUAUUAGCAGCACUUAUUAGAUAAGAAACAUUAUUUAGAGAAAUAAACAAAUGUUCUAGUUGACAUAGAGCUUCUAGGUGACAGAGCACAUUUUGGAAUUUAUGGUCCUGUCUGAAUACAGUGUCAGAGAUGCACAGAGUGACUGCAAACUCUUGUUAAGAGAAAAAAAGUACUAUGGAUUGAGAAUUAAUAUGAGACUGUUGUUUACUUUGCUUUUAUUUUAUUUUAUUUUAUUUUAUUUUAUUUUAUUUUAUUUUAUUUUAUUUUAUUCUUCUUAAAAUUCUACUUUAUUGAAUAGAAAAGAAGAUGUGAAGCCUCUGGAAGGCAUCAGAACACACCUCUCCACAUUCUUUUAGUCAAAUGAAGCAUUUACAGACACCUAGGUUUAUCAAACAACAAAAGCAAACUGGUAGAAUCUUGAUAUUGAAACUGGACAAUACAGCAACAAAAAUAAUAAAUAAUUUGGAUUAAAUGCACUUGAUAUUAUUUCUCCCUUUGCAUUAUUUAUACUUUAUUUAUUUAUUUAUUUAUUUAUUUAACUUUUAAACUGAUACUCUUGUAUAUUAUAUAAAUGGAUUUUAAGAUUUUGAGCCAUCUCUGCAUUGGUGUUUUUUCUAUUUUUUUUUUCACACUGUUGGAUUUGAUUACUAGUUUUUUUUCCAUCUAGGUUCAUAAGUGCACUUAAGACUGUUGUUUACUUUGAAUGACACACUGGAAAGGAAAUGGAGGGAAUGUUCUCCAGCCCGUAUCAAAGCGAACAUCAUCCUCCUGUUUCUUAAUAUCCUUUAAGUGAUAUGGUUUCACUCUGUGUCCCCACCCAGGUCUCACCUUGAAUUGUGAUAAUCCCCAUGUGUCCAGGGGGACUAGGUGGAGAUAACUGAAUCAUGGGGGUGGUUUCCCCCAUGUUGUUCUCAUGAUAGCGAGUGAGUUCUCAUAAGAUCUGAUGGUUUUACAGGGUUUUCUCCUUUGCUGGGUACUCAUUCUGUCCCCUGCUGGCAGGUGAAGAGGUGCUUUCCACCGUGAUUGUCAGUUUCCUGAGGCCUCCCAGCCAUGUGGAACAGUGAGUCAAUCAAACCUGUCUCCAUUAUAAAUUACCCAGUCUCAGGUAUGUUUUUAUUAGCAGUAUGAGAAUGGACCAAUACACUUAGUAUUUACAAGUGAGCAAGUAUUACACUUAGUAAUUACACUUAGUAUUUACAAGUGGGGAUGCUGAUAAGGUACACAUGGCAGGCUUCUCAGUUCUGCUCAGAAAAAGAUUUUGUAAAGAACUUAACUUUGCUUUUUCUCUAAGUGGCUCUACAUGACUUGUAGAUAUCUUUAUAAUUGAAAAGAAACUUUUUCUCUUAUUUUCUUCAUUUUGUGGUGAUAUAGCCACAAGUUUACACCUAUGUAAUCAUGAGUCUAUUGAUUUUUGUCAUCAACCACCUCAGGAAAAGAGUUGAGGGAGCAGGUCAUGAAAAGUGAUGGGGAGGAAGAUCCACCAGGGGUUCCACAUCACACUCUGGUCCCAAGGUUGCUGUGGGUUCUUUAGAGCCGGCUCUGGGGUUUCCAGUCUUUUUUCGUGGACUUGGUCAGCCCUUUCCCUUGAUGAGGAAAAGUGGCAUAGAAUGGUGAAAAUCUCGAUGUUCUCUUUGAUGAUUUUCAUUUCCCUUGCACAAGUUAUCAUUCAAUAUAUGUCUACUAAACAUCUAUCACUUUUAAGGUAUCUUUGAUCUCAUUCACAAACUUAAUUAACUAUCUUUACAUACAUUAAUCUAUAUUUUAAAAAUUCUGUUUCCUUUUAAAGUACUUCAAUUCUCUGAUUUUUAAACAAGUUUUUCCUAGAUACUAAAUAAUUUUUAGAAUUGAAUAAAUUAUUCAUACAGAUGCAGUAAACCUCAGUUCUCUUAGAUGCUGCAACACUCUUUAUAAAUUGAGAACUUUCAUCAUGAUUUCCUAAGUCUAAAUAAAUCAGUUACUCAAUUCAGCUAUUAUAUUAGAGUAACAAUGCUAUUACUUUAAAAGGCCAAAUUAUUUUUGCUUUAUAUAAUUUAGGCAUUUAAACACAUACAUUUAUACAGAUGAAAAGUCUUCCACAUGUUUUUUCUGUUCUCUCACAAUAUUUUGUUAUUAUAAUAUUUUUAAGCUAUAUGAAGAAGUAAAAGACUCAACAACUAUACAUUUUAUAAUUUAAAAUACCUUUAAAUUAUCUUUUCUUUGUUUGAAGUAUCAUUAUGAACUCAAUUCUUUAUGGAUUGGAUAUUUUUCAAUUAACUAAAGUCUUUAUUCAUCUUUGGAUGCUCCAACUGUCAACAGCUCAUUGAAUGGGAUUUCCUUUGCGUGCACUUUUGAUAUGAUUCCAUUAACCUUGGACACAUACUCUGCUUUGUGGCACCAGAGCAUGUUUCAGCUUGGAGAUAUGGAAUUACCACAAACUUGUUCUUAUAUUAUGAUGUGAAAUAUCUUUUUCGGCCGGACAUAGUGGCACACACCUGUAAUCCCAGCACUUUGGGAGGGUGAGGUGGGCCGAUCACUUGCACUCAUGAAUUUGAGACAAGUCUGGACAACAUAGUGAGACCUCGCCUCUACAAAAAAUACAAAAAUUAGCCGGGUGUGGUGGCAUAUACUUAUAGUCCCAGCUACUUGGGAGGCUGAAGUGGGAGGAGAACAAGACACUGUCUCAAAAAAAAAAUUCUUUCACAUUUAAUGUGUUAUACUAUUCAUUAUCAUGUUACAGUAUUUAUAUUGUACCAAUGGUUGCUAUGUAUCACUCCAAAUGGUUCUCUCAGGUGGUCUUGUUUGGAUGCAAUAGCAGUCAAAAUCUUCAGAUUUCCUGAAGGGAAAUUCAGGAGAUGAUCCCUCUCUAGGAAUUUCUCAUGAUUAGCCCAGAACAGUAUAUGCAAAUAUAUGCUGUAGAGGUUUGGUCAAAAAUCUCCUUUUGACUAACGUGACAAAUCCAACUUUACUUCACAGGUCUGUUUUUUAAGCAUUCUCAUUUUAACGACAUGAAUCCCUCUUGUGAAAUCCAAAAUUUUAGAGGCUAUUGGAAAUUAUAAAUCUAUUUCUAUGACAAAUUUUGACUUCCAAAAAC